Molecule: ribosomal RNA, 492 nt
Filed under: uncultured bacterium
Lineage: Bacteria
Description: partial 16S ribosomal RNA
Rfam family: Bacterial small subunit ribosomal RNA
Source: RNAcentral
AGUGAACGCUGGCGGUAGGCCUAACACAUGCAAGUCGAACGGCAGCACAGUAAGAGCUUGCUCUUACGGGUGGCGAGUGGCGGACGGGUGAGGAAUACAUCGGAAUCUACUUUUUCGUGGGGGAUAACGUAGGGAAACUUACGCUAAUACCGCAUACGACCUACGGUUGAAAGCAGGGGAUCUUCGGACCUUGCGCGAUUGAAUGAGCCGAUGUCGGAUUAGCUAGUUGGCGGGGUAAAGGCCCACCAAGGCGACGAUCCGUAGCUGGUCUGAGAGGAUGGUCAGCCACACUGGAACGGAGACACGGUCCAGACUCCUACGGGAGGCAGCAGUGGGGAAUAUGGGACAACGGGCGCAAGCCUGAUCCAGCCAUACCGCGUGGGUGGAGAAGGCCUUCGGGUUGUAAAGCCCUUUUGUUGGGAAAGAAAAGCAGCAGGUUAAUACCCCGUUGUUCUGACGGUACCCAAAGAAUAAGCACCGGCUAACUUCGUG